This is a non-coding RNA of Oryza glumipatula, 207 nucleotides long. The record is from Rfam. NCBI's taxonomy places the organism in Eukaryota, Viridiplantae, Streptophyta, Magnoliopsida, Poales, Poaceae.
AAAAAGACAAACCCUAAGUUUCCGUGUUUAAUGUUUGACUGUCCGUCUUAUAUGAAAUUUUUUUAUGAUUAGUAUUUUCAUUAUUGUUAGAUGAUAAAACAUGAUUAAUAUUUUAUGCGUGACUUACCUUUUUAUUUUUUUUCAUAAUUUUUUCAAAUAAGACGGACGGUCAAAUGCUGGACACGGAAACCCAGGGUUUGUCUUUUU